UUCCUACGGGAGGCAGCAGUGAGGAAUAUUGGUCAAUGGCCGCAGGGCUGAACCAGCCAAGUCGCGUGAGGGAUGACGGUCCUAUGGAUUGUAAACCUCUUUUGUCAGGGAGCAAAGGGCGCCACGUGUGGCGCUUUGCGAGUACCUGAAGAAAAAGCAUCGGCUAACUCCGUGCCAGCAGCCGCGGUAAUACGGAGGAUGCGAGCGUUAUCCGGAUUUAUUGGGCUUAAAGGGUGCGCAGGCGGCGAGUUAAGUCAGCGGUAAAAUUUCGGGGCUCAACCCCGACGAGCCGUUGAAACUGGCUU
This 305-nucleotide ribosomal RNA is filed under the name uncultured bacterium. RNAcentral's name for it is "bacterial SSU rRNA". It matches the Rfam family "Bacterial small subunit ribosomal RNA", at positions 336 to 639 of the family's 1533-position model. The record is from RNAcentral.